RNAcentral lists this ribosomal RNA (474 nucleotides) under Pomacanthus xanthometopon (yellowface angelfish). RNAcentral's name for it is "partial small subunit ribosomal RNA". It matches the Rfam family "Bacterial small subunit ribosomal RNA", at positions 788 to 1491 of the family's 1533-position model. The record is from RNAcentral. Lineage: Eukaryota; Metazoa; Chordata; Actinopteri; Pomacanthidae.
CACUAUGCCUGGCCGUAAACAUAGACAGUCCACAUACCCCACUGUCCGCCCGGGGACUACGAGCAUUAGCUUAAAACCCAAAGGACUUGGCGGUGCUUUAUACCCACCUAGAGGAGCCUGUUCUAGAACCGAUAACCCCCGUUCAACCUCACCCUUCCUUGUUCUUCCCGCCUAUAUACCGCCGUCGUCAGUUUACCCUGUGAAGGCCCAAUAGUAAGCAAAAUCGGCACAGCCCAAAACGUCAGGUCGAGGUGUAGCGUAUGGAAGGGGAAGAAAUGGGCUACAUUCCCUAUCAUAGGGCAUACGGAUGAUUACGCUGAAACGCAUAUCUGAAGGAGGAUUUAGCAGUAAGCAGAAAGUAGAGUGUUCUGCUGAAGCCGGCUCUGAAGCGCGUACACACCGCCCGUCACUCUCCCCAAGCUAACACACAAACUAAUUAAAACACCACAACUGCAAAGGGGAGGCAAGUCGUAA